RNAcentral lists this ribosomal RNA (253 nucleotides) under uncultured bacterium. RNAcentral describes it as "partial 16S ribosomal RNA". It matches the Rfam family "Bacterial small subunit ribosomal RNA", at positions 524 to 776 of the family's 1533-position model. The record is from RNAcentral.
UACGUAGGAGGCAAGCGUUGUCCGGAAUCAUUGGGCGUAAAGGGCGCGUAGGUGGCCUGGUCAGCGUGCGGUGAAAGCUCGGGGCUCAACCCCGAGUCGGCCGUGCGAACUGCUGGGCUUGAGCACUGUAGAGGCAGGCGGAAUUCCGGGUGUAGCGGUGGAAUGCGUAGAGAUCCGGAAGAACACCGGUGGCGAAGGCGGCCUGCUGGGCAGUAGCUGACACUGAGGCGCGACAGCGUGGGGAGCAAACAGG